RNAcentral lists this ribosomal RNA (292 nucleotides) under uncultured bacterium. RNAcentral's name for it is "partial 16S ribosomal RNA". It matches the Rfam family "Bacterial small subunit ribosomal RNA", at positions 505 to 796 of the family's 1533-position model. The record is from RNAcentral.
GUGUCAGCAGCCGCGGUAAUACGUAGGUGGCAAGCGUUGUCCGGAUUUACUGGGCGUAAAGAGCGCGCAGGCGGUCGGAUUAGUCGCGUGUGAAAGCCCCCGGCUCAACUGGGGAGGGUCACGCGAUACUGUUCGACUCGAAGGCAGGAGAGGGAAGUGGAAUUCCCGGUGUAGUGGUGAAAUGCGUAGAUAUCGGGAGGAACACCAGUGGCGAAGGCGACUUCCUGGCCUGUUCUUGACGCUGAGGCGCGAAAGCUAGGGUAGCAAACGGGAUUAGAAACCCUGGUAGUCC